Long non-coding RNA from Mus musculus (house mouse), 3209 nucleotides. RefSeq annotates it as predicted gene, 41545. The transcript has 3 exons. The record is from RefSeq and is a predicted model, not a curated record. Lineage: Eukaryota; Metazoa; Chordata; Mammalia; Rodentia; Muridae.
UCCAGGGACUCUGUGAGACUUGCUUUUCCACGAGUGUGCCAUCUGCUGCCCCUACACGUGUGCUCUCUCUCUUGUGCACCGGGCUCCUGCGUUCAGCCCAUCACCGCUCCUACUUGGCUGCCUGCCCACAGGCACAAGAAAAACAGCUUUCGCCCUGUCCCUUGUGGACUCUUGUUCACUGAGAAGCCAUUUUUCCCACAGGCUCGACUAUCUGCCUGUGCUUGUUCACGCUCGCAAAUGCCCCUCCUGACAUACACUUUCCAAAAAGUUUAACCCUUGCUGACUUGAAUCUCACUGGUUGUGUCAAGCUCACGGAGAACUGCCUGACCCUGUCUGCCUGGAGUGCUGAGAUUGAAGCCCCUUCUUGAAGGAAGACACAUGAAAGGAACACAAAGAUGUAUUUGUCAAGACUUCGCAUUGGCGACUGAAAAGCAUCCCAUUGGAAUGAUCUGGGAAGAUGGGAUGGGGAAGAUGAUGAUGGAGGAGAUGAAGGCUAUUUAUUACUUCACAUGGGGCAGAGAACAAUGUCAGAAAGGGCAUCCUCAGGGUCUCUGGAAAUAGUAGAAGGUCACAACUGCUGAUACGGUAUGGAAGCCAGACUUGAUGGAAAGCCCAGCUUCAUGAGGGAUGUGAUGGGUGAACUGGGUCGAUGCUGUGCUUCGAGCUUUUCAUCUUUUACAUCUAGAAAAUCACAGUAUCUACCCUCAGUGUUGCUGUGAGAAUCCCCAGAGAUUUUUCACAUAGAGAGGGCUACUUAGAGAGUUCCUGGAAAGUCAGGGUUACAUAAAUAAACCCUGUCCAAAAAACAAAAAAACAAAAAAACAAAAAAACAAAAAAAAAAGGAAAAACCCAAAAGCCUGUCUCAAGUCACACUUGAAUUUUUAUUUUAGAUAUCCAAGUAAAUCGAGGGAUGACACACAGCUAUGGAUAAUCAGACAUCUCAGACAUCUAUCCCUGAGUGCUAGCCUUUAGGCUAUUCUUUACAUAAUUUAAGACACUUUAAAACAGCUGGUAAGAAAAUCUUUUAUAUAUAAUUCUGUUUGAUUGAAGUAUGAAUAAAGGCUUGACCUAGAAAACAGCAUCACUGAAACCACAACAUGGAGGCCUUUCUUUCCUUUCCUUUCCUUUCCUUUCGUUUCCUUUCGUUUCCUUUCCUUUCCUUUCCUUUUCCUUUCCUUUUCUUUUCUCCUCUUUUCUUUUCAUUUGUUGGUACUCGGGAUUAAACCAAAGACCUCACUGUGUGCAACAAGUGCUCUACCACUGAGCCUCAUCCCCAGGCCUGAUAUAGAGGUUAUGUUUGUUCAUUUGCUUGUUUGCCCCUAUGAGAGGUAUACAAAGUUCCUAGACAAGGCCAGUCCCAGAUGAAGAAUAAAAUUCAAGAGUCCAUUACUGGACUAGGGGUGCAGCUCCAUUGGCAGAGUGCUUUCCCAGCAUGCACCUGGAUUCAAUACCCAGUACUAUAUAAAUUGGGCAGAGUAUCACAUCUGUAAUCAAAAACCUGGGAGGUAGAGAAUUAAGUAUUGUGUGAGACGUGUCCUUGGGGAACAUGAACAAAUGUCUAUUCAUCCAAGAUAGUGAAUCAAGACAUAAAAGUUAAGCCACCAUAGAGAGCAGACACAUGGUGACGAUUGGCCACAUGGCCAGGAAGGGAGCUUUAGAGAAAGCAUAAGGAAGCCCCAGAGUGCCAGGAAAUUGUACUUAGCUCUGGUUACCAUUCAAAAGAAGAGAAAAAAGGCACAACUCAGAAAGGGAGGCUGCUCCAGCAGAGAGCCUCCUGGACAGCCCUGGAGCAUCUGCCCAGAGGAGGGAGUUCUGGGAAGGAAAAAUUCACCUCACUAAAGGAACAGUAUGUUCCUCCUACCUCUUUUAUACAGCUUCAGGUGAGCCAGGCUUCCUGAGGAGUAGCCUUUAGCUUACACACUGGAUUAACUCUUAAAGAAACAGACAUGUCUCUAUCUAUCAGAUAAUUCCAAGGUUAUUGUAACCACAGUGGGGUUUUCCUCAUACUCCUGAAGAGAUGAAAUAAUAGGCCACACCAGUGAGAUGCCUAGGAUCCAGAUGCUAUCAUCUGAAUGAGAAACCUGGUUCCAUCAAGACUUCAAGUCCCUGAAGGCACUCAGUUGCAUCAAGUAAUCUAUGCAAACAUUUGUCCUUGGCAGGAGUAGCAAAGAGAGAGGCAAGCACACCUGAAGAGUUCCUUUAAUCUUUUGGGGACCUUGACUCACAUAAAACCAGAUCUUUGGCUUCAGUGAAGAAAGUAAGUUCAGGAGAAGCCCCUAUGAAGCAGAGUCGGUCUUCAUUCAGAACAGAGAGCUGCUCAGAGAAAGACUAAAGCACCUUGGGAAUGUGGAUGUGGACUUCUCAGAGCACAGUCACAUUUAACUGCAGUUCCGUCCACAGGUAGAUCCAAAGGAAACUGCAGACCCUAAAACUGCAGAAGGCAGUCAGACAUCUAGAAGGCCUGGCCUGGCCUGGCCUGGCCUGUAGGAGGUGGUUAGAUAAAAGUCACCAUUCCUCAGGAACUGGUGAAGCUGGCUCCCUCUACUAAAAGAAGUCCUUUCCCAUAUCACAGUCAGAAAGGGCAAAUGGCUACCCUUGUUGCCCAUUAGCAUACCAAAGCACACCUGGCUCCCAGGCUUCCAGGCUCCCUCCUAUCUCAAGUAUCUGUUGCCCAUUUCAGAGUCCAGGCAGGCCCCCCAGCCCUUCUCAUCCCCUCCCCUGCUAAACUCCAUCCAGCUCCAGGGUUUCCCUCCCCCAGCUACUCCUUCUCCUUGUAAGCCUGCUCUUUCUGGAUAGUUCACUCUGACUCUCUGUCUCCCCUGCCCCAUCUCUCUCUGUGUUCCUCUCCUCCUCUCCCUCUGACCUCCUGGGCUCCCUCUUUCCAUGUUCCUCUCUCUGGGCUCUGCACCUGCUUCUCUCUUGGCCAUGUUCAGUCUGCUUCUUUUUCUCUCUCCUGGAUGUCUCCGACUGUCCUCUCUCUCUGUGUCUCUCUCCCUCCUUCCCCUUAUCCACACCUUGAGUGACAUCAUCAGUUUAUACAUCAAUGGUGGUUUCAUUAUGCUCAGUACAGGGAUGACACUAUUAGGAGGUGUAGCCCUGUUGGAGUGGGCUUGUCACUAUGUGUGUGGGCUUUCAGAUCCUCAUCCUAGCUGCCCAUGAGUCAGUAUUCUGCUAGUAGCCUUCAGAUGAAGACAUAAACUCUCAGCUCC